CUGUGUCUUGAAACUAAAACAAUUAUAAUUGGCAGACUCGUAUUAGACCUUAAAACACACACAAAAACUGCUGCCUUCGCUUAAAUAUUUAUUAUUUAUCAUUUGGUGCAACAAAAAUUUUGACACCAAAUAAUAAACAUUUGAGCGAAGUCAACAGGUUUUUUGUGUUUUUCAAUGCCUAAUAUGUGUCUUCCAUGCUGAUUAGAGAUAGAGAAUGAGUUGGAUACAGAGAAUAUCAGUUCAGUGGAAGGGAGACGAAGGAAGGAAAUAGGGUAACAGAACAGAUUGAUGGAAGAAUGAGCAUUAGAAGAGGAGUUGUGGAGGAUGGAUUAACAGU
Molecule: long non-coding RNA, 337 nt
Organism: Octopus sinensis (East Asian common octopus)
Lineage: Eukaryota; Metazoa; Mollusca; Cephalopoda; Octopoda; Octopodidae
Exons: 3
Source: RefSeq, a predicted model, not a curated record